This 878-nucleotide ribosomal RNA is filed under the name Amanita luteolovelata. Its description in RNAcentral is "partial 28S ribosomal RNA". The record is from RNAcentral. Lineage: Eukaryota; Fungi; Basidiomycota; Agaricomycetes; Agaricales; Amanitaceae.
ACUAACAGGAUUCCCUUAGUAACUGCGAGUGAAGAGGGAAAAGCUCAAAUUUAAAAUCUGGCAGUGUUUCACUGUCCGAGUUGUAACCUAGAGAAGUGUAACCUGUGCUGGACCGUGUAUAAGUUUCCUGGAAUGGAGCAUCACAGAGGGUGAGAAUCCCGUCUUUGACAUGGACUACCAGUGCAUUGUGGUUGUGCUCUCAACGAGUCGAGUUGUUUGGGAAUGCAGCUCUAAAUGGGUGGUAAAUUCCAUCUAAAGCUAAAUAUUGGCGAGAGACCGAUAGCGAACAAGUACCGUGAGGGAAAGAUGAAAAGAACUUUGGAAAGAGAGUUAAACAGUAUGUGAAAUUGUUGAAAGGGAAACGUUUGAAGUCAGUCGCGUUAGCUGGGGAUCAGCCUGACAUUGUUGGGUGCACUUCCUGGUUGACGGGCCAACAUCAGUUUUGACUGCCAGAAAAAGGCCAAGGGAAUGUGGCACCUUUGGGUGUGUUAUAGCCUUUGGUCAUAUAUGGUGGUUGGGACUGAGGAACGCAGUGUGCCGAAAGGCCGGGUUUCGACCACGUUCACACUGAGGAUGUUGGCAUAAUGGCUUUAAGCGACCCGUCUUGAAACACGGACCAAGGAGUCUAACAUGCAUGCGAGUGUUUGGGUGGAAAACCCUUACGCGUAAUGAAAGUGAAAGUUGAGAUCCCUGUCGUGGGGAGCAUCGACGCCCGGACCAGAACUUUUGUGACGGAUCUGCGGUAGAGCACGUAUGUUGGGACCCGAAAGAUGGUGAACUAUGCCUGAAUAGGGUGAAGCCAGAGGAAACUCUGGUGGAGGYUGGUAGCGAUUCUGACGUGCAAAUCGAUCGUCAAAUUUGGGUAUAGGGGCGAAAGA